RNAcentral lists this ribosomal RNA (1054 nucleotides) under Francisella endosymbiont of Hyalomma lusitanicum. Its description in RNAcentral is "bacterial SSU rRNA". It matches the Rfam family "Bacterial small subunit ribosomal RNA", at positions 202 to 1245 of the family's 1533-position model. The record is from RNAcentral. Lineage: Bacteria; Pseudomonadati; Pseudomonadota; Gammaproteobacteria; Thiotrichales; Francisellaceae.
AAAGUGCUUUGGGCUGUCGCAGAUGGAUGAGCCUGCGUUGGAUUAGCUAGUUGGUGGGGUAAGGGCUUACCAAGGCUACGAUCCAUAGCUGAUUUGAGAGGAUGAUCAGCCACAUUGGGACUGAGACACGGCCCAAACUCCUACGGGAGGCAGCAGUGAGGAAUAUUGGACAAUGGGGGCAACCCUGAUCCAGCAAUGCCAUGUGUGUGAAGAAGGCCUUAGGGUUGUAAAGCACUUUAGUUGGGGAAGAAAGCUUUGAGGUUAAUAGCCUUGAGGAAGGACGUUACCCAAAGAAUAAGCACCGGCUAACUCCGUGCCAGCAGCCGCGGUAAUACGGGGGGUGCAAGCGUUAAUCGGAAUUACUGGGCGUAAAGGGUCUGUAGGUGGUUUGUUAAGUCAGAUGUGAAAGCCCAGGGCUCAACCUUGGAACUGCAUUUGAUACUGGCAAACUAGAGUACGGUAGAGGAAUGGGGAAUUUCUGGUGUAGCGGUGAAAUGCGUAGAGAUCAGAAGGAACACCAAUGGCGAAGGCAACAUUCUGGACCGAUACUGACACUGAGGGACGAAAGCGUGGGGAUCAAACAGGAUUAGAUACCCUGGUAGUCCAUGCUGUAAACGAUGAGUACUAGCUGUUGGAGUCGGUGUAAAGGCUCUAGUGGCGCAGCUAACGCGAUAAGUACUCCGCCUGGGGACUACGGCCGCAAGGCUAAAACUCAAAGGAAUUGACGGGGACCCGCACAAGCGGUGGAGCAUGUGGUUUAAUUCGAUGCAACGCGAAGAACCUUACCUGGUCUUGACAUCCUGCGAGCUUUCUAGAGAUAGAUUGGUGCCUUCGGGAACGCAGUGACAGGUGCUGCACGGCUGUUGUCAGCUCGUGUUGUGAAAUGUUGGGUUAAGUCCCGCAACGAGCGCAACCCCUAUUGAUAGUUACCAUCAUUAAGUUGGGUACUCUAUUGAGACUGCCGCUGACAAGGCGGAGGAAGGUGGGGACGACGUCAAGUCAUCAUGGCCCUUACGACCAGGGCUACACACGUGCUACAAUGGGUAUACAGAUG